CCUACGGGAGACAGCAGUGGGGGAUAUUGCACAAUGGGGGAAACCCUGAUGCGGCGACGCCGCGUGGGUGAAGAAGCGCCUCGGCGCGUAAAGCCCUGUCAGCAGGGACGAAAAUGACGGUACCUGAAGAAGAAGCCCCGGCUAACUACGUGCCAGCAGCCGCGGUAAUACGUAGGGGGCAAGCGUUAUCCGGAUUUCCUGGGUGUAAAGGGGGCGCAGACGGCGAUGCAAGCCAGGAGUGAAAGCCCGGGGCCCAACCCCGGGACUGCUCUUGGAACUGCGUGGCUAGAGUGCAGGAGGGGCAGGCGGAAUUCCUGGUGUAGCGGUGAAAUGCGUAGAUAUCAGGAGGAACACCGGUGGCGAAGGCGGCCUGCUGGACUGCAACUGACGUUGAGGCCCGAAAGCGUGGGGAGCAAACAGGAUUAGAUACCCCUGUAGUC
RNAcentral lists this ribosomal RNA (440 nucleotides) under uncultured bacterium. RNAcentral's name for it is "partial 16S ribosomal RNA". It matches the Rfam family "Bacterial small subunit ribosomal RNA", at positions 338 to 795 of the family's 1533-position model. The record is from RNAcentral.